AGAAUCAACGCUGGCGGCGUGCCUAACACAUGCAAGUCGCACGAGAAAGGGACUUCGGUCUUGAGUACAGUGGCGCACGGGUGAGUAACACGUGAAUCAUCUACCUUCGAGUGGGGAAUAAUUGAGAGAAAUCUUAGCUAAUACCGCAUAAUACCCACGGGUCAAAGCAGCAAUGCGCUUGAAGAGGAGUUCGCGGCAGAUUAGUUAGUUGGCGGGGUAAUGGCCCACCAAGACGAUGAUCUGUA
Molecule: ribosomal RNA, 245 nt
Filed under: uncultured bacterium
Lineage: Bacteria
Description: partial small subunit ribosomal RNA
Rfam family: Bacterial small subunit ribosomal RNA
Source: RNAcentral